Molecule: ribosomal RNA, 56 nt
Filed under: Peribacillus simplex
Lineage: Bacteria; Bacillati; Bacillota; Bacilli; Caryophanales; Bacillaceae
Also listed under: 1 other name
Description: Bacillus simplex partial 23S ribosomal RNA
Source: RNAcentral
GGAAGCGUGGCGACAUGUGGAGCUGACUGAUACUAAUAGAUCGAGGACUUAACCAA